CAGUAGCCGCGGUAAUACGUAGGGUGCAAGCGUUAAUCGGAAUUACUGGGCGUAAAGCGUGCGCAGGCGGUUAUAUAAGACAGAUGUGAAAUCCCCGGGCUCAACCUGGGAACUGCAUUUGUGACUGUAUAGCUAGAGUACGGCAGAGGGGGAUGGAAUUCCGCGUGUAGCAGUGAAAUGCGUAGAUAUGCGGAGGAACACCGAUGGCGAAGGCAAUCCCCUGGGCCUGCACUGACGCUCAUGCACGAAAGCGUGGGGAGCAAACAGGAUUAGAUACCCGCGUAGUCCCUGUCUCUUAUAC
This 301-nucleotide ribosomal RNA is filed under the name uncultured bacterium. Its description in RNAcentral is "partial 16S ribosomal RNA". It matches the Rfam family "Bacterial small subunit ribosomal RNA", at positions 509 to 807 of the family's 1533-position model. The record is from RNAcentral.